Long non-coding RNA from Bubalus bubalis (water buffalo), 1059 nucleotides. RefSeq lists it as uncharacterized. Lineage: Eukaryota; Metazoa; Chordata; Mammalia; Artiodactyla; Bovidae. The transcript is spliced from 3 exons. The record is from RefSeq and is a predicted model, not a curated record.
UGCAAAUGUAUUUAUAACCAAGAGAGAUAGUCACCUUCCACCCCAAUUAGCCUUUGCAUUGAUUUACUGAAGAAAAACAUCUAUUACUGAAAAAAGUCUUACAGAUUAGUGUUGCAUUAUUUUGUUACAGUUGGAAUAUGUAGGGAAAGUGAUCUUGAAGAGGAUACACUUUAGUCUAACCAAAAAUGUAUUUUCCCAAUAGUUAAAAAAAAGAUACAUCAUUGAGGAUGCAGCUCUGGUUCAGAAUACAGUUUUUUCCCCCUUAAAGCUAUCUGCUUAGUUAUUUGAAUAUUUUCUAAUAAUGAGCUUGUGUCACAUUUUAGAUCUUUAAAAAGAGAUUUAUUCAUGAACUGUUGCUUGGAUAAAGCCAUUGAUCUACCAAUAAAGAAAAAUCCCAUUUCUCAAUUUCUUUGUGAGAAUAUAAUUAUGGUUAGAACUGAAGUCUUUUUUUUCUUUCUUUUUUUUAGUGAAAAGGCUUACUGCCUCCUGAAAUACAUUUUUGUACCCUCUAAAGAUUGGAACUGCAACCGUGACUUUUUUCCUGCCGAGAAAAACCUACCAGCAAUGACUGUAUAAACAUCCUGAUUGCAAAUGUGACAAAGAAACACUGGCACAACUUAGCAUUUCCUAAUAAAAGAAACAUUGAUGCUUGCUUUCUGUUUGCCUUUCUUCCUGUGCCACAUCCUUCAUAACUGCAAAGAUAACUUGCAGGGAGAAGCUGAGAUCUGGGAAUCUUCUGAUUGUGUCAUGUUGAGCAGGGGGAAGAAUUAUGGUGAGUGCCAUGAGUUUUCCUUCCCUCUUUGAGCUUGCCUGCUGUAUAGAAGUCUAUUAAUUGGCUUCUAGGUCUCUCACAAAGGGAAUUGGUUCCUGUAUUAUUGUUGGGUCAGUGUCUCCCUGAGGGGAAAGAGAGUAUUGGACUUCCUGCUCUGCUCUCGAUUAUUCUUACUCUUGAUUCUCUUAUUGUUUAAUACAUCACUGUCUUAAUUAGAGUAACAUAUCCAGUAGUGUAAGUUUUCCAAUUUUUUUUAAUGAAGUCAGAGCUAUUAUUAAUCUUUUAAC